RNAcentral lists this ribosomal RNA (429 nucleotides) under uncultured bacterium. RNAcentral describes it as "bacterial SSU rRNA". It matches the Rfam family "Bacterial small subunit ribosomal RNA", at positions 355 to 776 of the family's 1533-position model. The record is from RNAcentral.
UCGAGGAUCUUUCGCAAUGGGCGCAAGCCUGACGAAGCGACGCUGCGUGAGCGAUGAAGGCCUUCGGGUCGUAAAGCUCUUUCGCGCAAGAACAAGGAAAUGGUGUGAAUAACAUCGUAACUUGAGGGUACUGCGUAAAGAAGCACCGGCUAACUCCGUGCCAGCAGCUGCGGUAAUACGGAGAGUGCAAGCAUUAAUCGGAAUUAUUGGGCGUAAAGGGCGCGUAGGCGGGAAUGAAAGUCAGAUGUGAAAUUCCGAAGCUCAACUUCGGAGCUGCAUUUGAAACUCCAAUUCUCGAGGAUUGACGGAGAAAACGGAAUUCCACGUGUAGCGGUGAAAUGCGUAGAUAUGUGGAAGAACACCUGUGGCGAAAGCGGUUUUCUAGUUUAUACCUGACGCUGAGGCGCGAGAGCAAGGGGAGCAAACAGG